UACGUAGGGUGCGAGCGUUAAUCGGAAUUACUGGGCGUAAAGCGUGCGCAGGCGGUUCGUUGUGUCUGCUGUGAAAUCCCCGGGCUCAACCUGGGAAUGGCGGUGGAAACUGGCGAGCUUGAGUGUGGCAGAGGGGGGUGGAAUUCCACGUGUAGCAGUGAAAUGCGUAGAGAUGUGGAGGAACACCGAUGGCGAAGGCAGCCCCCUGGGCUGAGAUUGACGCUCAGGCACGAAAGCGUGGGGAGCAAACAGG
RNAcentral lists this ribosomal RNA (253 nucleotides) under uncultured bacterium. RNAcentral's name for it is "partial 16S ribosomal RNA". It matches the Rfam family "Bacterial small subunit ribosomal RNA", at positions 524 to 776 of the family's 1533-position model. The record is from RNAcentral.